Molecule: long non-coding RNA, 375 nt
Organism: Oncorhynchus tshawytscha (Chinook salmon)
Lineage: Eukaryota; Metazoa; Chordata; Actinopteri; Salmoniformes; Salmonidae
Source: Ensembl
GAUGAACUGUAACAAUUUCUUAUAUUUUUGUCAUGUUUUGGUUCAAUGGAUAUGGGAGAACACAGGGAGGAGGUAUUUUCCAUGCCGAGGGGAGAACACAGGGAGGAGGUAUUUUCCAUGCCGAGGGGAGAACACAGGGAGGAGGUAUUUUCCAUGCCGAGGGGAGAACACAGGGAGGAGGUAUUUUCCAUGCCGAGGGGAGAACACAGGGAGGAGGUAUUUUCCAUGCCGAGGGGAGAACACAGGGAGGAGGAUAAUAUUAUUAUUUUUUGGACUCCAGUCCAGAUGUGCACAUAUCUUACAGUAGAGACAGUCGCCAGGCAGAUUAGUGGAUAGUGUAUGUGUAUAAUUAUUACCCUGGGUUGGGCAGGCCUA